UCCGGCUUAUCACCGGCAGUCGCCUUAGAGUGCCCAACUGAAUGGUGGCAACUAAGGCCGAGGGUUGCGCUCGUUGCGGGACUUAACCCAACAUCUCACGACACGAGCUGACGACAGCCAUGCAGCACCUGUGUCCACGCCCCUUGCGGGGAGGAAUCCAUCUCUGGAAACCGUCGUGGCAUGUCAAGGGCUGGUAAGGUUCUGCGCGUUGCUUCGAAUUGAACCACAUGCUCCACCGCUUGUGCGGGCCCCCGUCAAUUUCUUUGAGUUUUAAUCUUGCGACCGUACUUCCCAGGCGGCACAUUUAUCGCGUUGGCUUCGCCACGAGCAGGGUCGAUUCCGCUCACAGCAAAUGUGCACCGUUUACAGCUAGGACUAC
RNAcentral lists this unclassified non-coding RNA (379 nucleotides) under uncultured Alphaproteobacteria bacterium. RNAcentral's name for it is "contains 16S-23S intergenic spacer region". The record is from RNAcentral. Lineage: Bacteria; Pseudomonadati; Pseudomonadota; Alphaproteobacteria.